Long non-coding RNA from Hyalella azteca, 300 nucleotides. RefSeq lists it as uncharacterized. The record is from RefSeq and is a predicted model, not a curated record. NCBI's taxonomy places the organism in Eukaryota, Metazoa, Arthropoda, Malacostraca, Amphipoda, Hyalellidae. The transcript is spliced from 2 exons.
GACUUGCGUGACCAGUACGCAUGGGUAAUGUCCCGCGCUGAAGAGCUUGACGCUGACUCGCUCGCUGCUGCACUGGACGCAUUCGAGUCUAACGGCAUCGACACGUCGCUGUUGCAGCCCACGCCACAAGGCGGCGACUGCAUCUACGCGCCAGUUCCUCCCAAGAUAUAAAGAAAAAAGAACAUACAGAAUUACCUAGGAAAUUGAUGGAUACCGUAUUUUCUCUAUAUUGCGUUAAAUUUAACUCAUUGAAAGAAUUGACCUACACGUACGAAUAUAAAUCAGUUUCAAGCAAAUUGA